UGCCCAAGCUCUGCCAUGGACCUGGAC
RNAcentral lists this non-coding RNA (27 nucleotides) under Homo sapiens (human). The record is from RNAcentral. Lineage: Eukaryota; Metazoa; Chordata; Mammalia; Primates; Hominidae.